This 449-nucleotide ribosomal RNA is filed under the name uncultured bacterium. RNAcentral's name for it is "bacterial SSU rRNA". It matches the Rfam family "Bacterial small subunit ribosomal RNA", at positions 29 to 525 of the family's 1533-position model. The record is from RNAcentral.
AACGAACGCUGGCGGCAGGCUUAACACAUGCAAGUCGAGCGCCCCGCAAGGGGAGCGGCAGACGGGUGAGUAACACGUGGGAACGUACCCUUUUCUACGGAAUAACGCAGGGAAACUUGUGCUAAUACCGUAUACGCCCUUUGGGGGAAAGAUUUAUCGGAGAAGGAUCGGCCCGCGUUGGAUUAGCUAGUUGGUGGGGUAAAGGCCUACCAAGGCGACGAUCCAUAGCUGGUCUGAGAGGAUGAUCAGCCACAUUGGGACUGAGACACGGCCCAAACUCCUACGGGAGGCAGCAGUGGGGAAUAUUGGACAAUGGGCGCAAGCCUGAUCCAGCCAUGCCGCGUGAAUGAUGAAGGCCUUAGGGUUGUAAAGUUCUUUCACCGGAGAAGAUAAUGACGGUAUCCGGAGAAGAAGCCCCGGCUAACUUCGUGCCAGCAGCCGCAGUAAGA